Transfer RNA from Aureobasidium pullulans, 71 nucleotides. It matches the Rfam family "tRNA". From Rfam's summary of the family: Transfer RNA (tRNA) molecules are approximately 80 nucleotides in length. NCBI's taxonomy places the organism in Eukaryota, Fungi, Ascomycota, Dothideomycetes, Dothideales, Saccotheciaceae. The record is from Rfam.
GUCGCAGUGGUUUAGUGGUAAAAUUCGUGCUUGCCAUGCACGAGCCCCGUGUUCGAUUCACGGCUGCGACA